CCUACGGGAGGCUGCAGUGGGGGAUAUUGCACAAUGGGGGAAACCCUGAUGCAGCGACGCCGCGUGGGCGAAGACGUAUUUCGGUAUGUAAAGCCCUAUCAGCAGGGAAGAAGAAAUGACGAUGCCUGAGUAAGAAGCACCGGCUAAAUACGUGCAAGCAGCCGCGGUAAUACGUAUGGUGCAAGCGUUAUCCGGAUUUACUGGGUUUAAGGGGAUCGCAGGCGGCACGGCAAGCCUGAUGUGAAAGCCCGCGGCUCAACCGCGGGACUGCAUUGGGAACUACCGGGCUGGAGUGCCGUAGAGGUAGGCGGAAUUCGUAGUGUAGCGGUGAAAUGCGUAGAUAUUAGGAGGAACACCAGUGGCGAAGGCGGCCUACCGGACGGUGACUGACGCGGAGGCUCGAAAGCGUGGGGAGCAAACAGGAUUAGAUACCCUAGUAGUC
This 442-nucleotide ribosomal RNA is filed under the name uncultured bacterium. RNAcentral's name for it is "partial 16S ribosomal RNA". It matches the Rfam family "Bacterial small subunit ribosomal RNA", at positions 338 to 795 of the family's 1533-position model. The record is from RNAcentral.